This 339-nucleotide ribosomal RNA is filed under the name Triticum aestivum (bread wheat). Its description in RNAcentral is "partial small subunit ribosomal RNA". The record is from RNAcentral. Lineage: Eukaryota; Viridiplantae; Streptophyta; Magnoliopsida; Poales; Poaceae.
AUGUCCUCCUCCAGCCAAAUCGUCUCCCCCGGCCUCAACUACACAACCUUAGAACCCCUUACCAGAACCAACUAUGUUCUCUGGCGAGCCCAAGCUCGCUCCCAGAUCAUGGGGGCGGGGCUAUAUGGGUAUAUCGAUCAAACAACCCCCGAGCCUUCCAAAACCAUAGUCACAAAAACCUCCGAUGGGAAAGAUCAGAUCGUUUCCAAUCCUGCCUACAACCCUUGGCUAGUCCAAGAUCAACAAAUAGUGGCCGACCUACUCCGAAACCUCUCCAAAGAACUCCUGAUUCAGGUUGCCUCCUGCUACCUCUUGAUCACUGUGUUGGUUUUCUCUUGA